This 840-nucleotide ribosomal RNA is filed under the name Lentilactobacillus parafarraginis. RNAcentral's name for it is "bacterial SSU rRNA". It matches the Rfam family "Bacterial small subunit ribosomal RNA", at positions 39 to 864 of the family's 1533-position model. Lineage: Bacteria; Bacillati; Bacillota; Bacilli; Lactobacillales; Lactobacillaceae. The record is from RNAcentral.
GCGUCCCGGUUGAUGAAGUUGAGUGCUUGCACUUAAUUGAUUCAACUUGGUGACGAGUGGCGAACUGGUGAGUAACACGUGGGUAACCUGCCCCGAAGCGGGGGAUAACAUUUGGAAACAGGUGCUAAUACCGCAUAACAACCAAAACCACCUGGUUUUGGUUUGAAAGACGGCUUCGGCUGUCACUUUGGGAUGGACCCGCGGCGUAUUAGCUAGUUGGUGAGGUAACGGCUCACCAAGGCGAUGAUACGUAGCCGACCUGAGAGGGUAAUCGGCCACAUUGGGACUGAGACACGGCCCAAACUCCUACGGGAGGCAGCAGUAGGGAAUCUUCCACAAUGGACGCAAGUCUGAUGGAGCAACGCCGCGUGAGUGAUGAAGGGUUUCGGCUCGUAAAACUCUGUUGUUGGAGAAGAACGGGUGUCAGAGUAACUGUUGACAUCGUGACGGUAUCCAACCAGAAAGCCACGGCUAACUACGUGCCAGCAGCCGCGGUAAUACGUAGGUGGCAAGCGUUGUCCGGAUUUAUUGGGCGUAAAGCGAGCGCAGGCGGUUUUUUAGGUCUGAUGUGAAAGCCUUCGGCUUAACCGGAGAAGUGCAUCGGAAACCGGGAGACUUGAGUGCAGAAGAGGACAGUGGAACUCCAUGUGUAGCGGUGAAAUGCGUAGAUAUAUGGAAGAACACCAGUGGCGAAGGCGGCUGUCUGGUCUGCAACUGACGCUGAGGCUCGAAAGCAUGGGUAGCGAACAGGAUUAGAUACCCUGGUAGUCCAUGCCGUAAACGAUGAGUGCUAAGUGUUGGAGGGUUUCCGCCCUUCAGUGCUGCAGCUAACGCAUUAAG